Molecule: non-coding RNA, 110 nt
Organism: Acanthosepion pharaonis
Lineage: Eukaryota; Metazoa; Mollusca; Cephalopoda; Sepiida; Sepiidae
Source: the annotation of a GenBank genome assembly
GGACAAAUCACGUUGAAACACCGGUUCAAGUACGAUCACCGAAGUUAAGCAAAGUCGAGGUUAGUUAAUGCCUAGAUGGGUGACUGCUUGGGAAUACCAAGUGCUGUAAG